GAUGAACGCUGGCGGCGUGCCUAAUACAUGCAAGUAGAACGCUGAAGGAGGAGCUUGCUCUUCUGGAUGAGUUGCGAACGGGUGAGUAACGCGUAGGUAACCUGCCUGGUAGCGGGGGAUAACUAUUGGAAACGAUAGCUAAUACCGCAUGACAACAGUUAUUGCAUGAUAACUGUUUAAAAGGGGCAACUGCUCCACUACCAGAUGGACCUGCGUUGUAUUAGCUAGUUGGUGAGGUAACGGCUCACCAAGGCGACGAUACAUAGCCGACCUGAGAGGGUGAUCGGCCACACUGGGACUGAGACACGGCCCAGACUCCUACGGGAGGCAGCAGUAGGGAAUCUUCGUCAAUGGACGGAAGUCUGACCGAGCAACGCCGCGUGAGUGAAGAAGGUUUUCGGAUCGUAAAGCUCUGUUGUAAGAGAAGAACGAGUGUGAGAGUGGAAAGUUCACACUGUGACGGUAUCUUACCAGAAAGGGACGGCUAACUACGUG
Molecule: ribosomal RNA, 495 nt
Filed under: uncultured bacterium
Lineage: Bacteria
Description: partial 16S ribosomal RNA
Rfam family: Bacterial small subunit ribosomal RNA
Source: RNAcentral